GUGGGUAGUUUGACUGGGGCGGUCUCCUCCUAAAGAGUAACGGAGGAGCACGAAGGUUGGCUAAUCCUGGUCGGACAUCAGGAGGUUAGUGCAAUGGCAUAAGCCAGCUUGACUGCGAGCGUGACGGCGCGAGCAGGUGCGAAAGCAGGUCAUAGUGAUCCGGUGGUUCUGAAUGGAAGGGCCAUCGCUCAACGGAUAAAAGGUACUCCGGGGAUAACAGGCUGAUACCGCCCAAGAGUUCAUAUCGACGGCGGUGUUUGGCACCUCGAUGUCGGCUCAUCACAUCCUGGGGCUGAAGUAGGUCCCAAGGGUAUGGCUGUUCGCCAUUUAAAGUGGUACGCGAGCUGGGUUUAGAACGUCGUGAGACAGUUCGGUCCCUAUCUGCCGUGGGCGCUGGAGAACUGAGGGGGGCUGCUCCUAGUACGAGAGGACCGGAGUGGACGCAUCACUGGUGUUCGGGUUGUCAUGCCAAUGGCACUGCCCGGUAGCUAAAUGCGGAAGAG
Molecule: ribosomal RNA, 503 nt
Filed under: Escherichia coli
Lineage: Bacteria; Pseudomonadati; Pseudomonadota; Gammaproteobacteria; Enterobacterales; Enterobacteriaceae
Also listed under: 1 other name
Description: partial 23S ribosomal RNA
Rfam family: Bacterial large subunit ribosomal RNA
Source: RNAcentral